GAUGAACGCUGGCGGCGUGCCUAAUACAUGCAAGUCGAGCGAACGGAUGAGAAGCUUGCUUCUCUGAUGUUAGCGGCGGACGGGUGAGUAACACGUGGAUAACCUACCUAUAAGACUGGGAUAACUUCGGGAAACCGGAGCUAAUACCGGAUGAUAUUUUGAACCGCAUGGUUCAAAAGUGAAAGACGGUCUUGCUGUCACUUAUAGAUGGAUCCGCGCUGCAUUAGCUAGUUGGUAAGGUAACGGCUUACCAAGGCAACGAUGCAUAGCCGACCUGAGAGGGUGAUCGGCCACACUGGAACUGAGACACGGUCCAGACUCCUACGGGAGGCAGCAGUAGGGAAUCUUCCGCAAUGGGCGAAAGCCUGACGGAGCAACGCCGCGUGAGUGAUGAAGGUCUUCGGAUCGUAAAACUCUGUUAUUAGGGAAGAACAUAUGUGUAAGUAACUGUGCACAUCCUGACGGUACCUAAUCAGAAAGCCACGGCUAACUACGUG
RNAcentral lists this ribosomal RNA (497 nucleotides) under uncultured bacterium. RNAcentral's name for it is "partial 16S ribosomal RNA". It matches the Rfam family "Bacterial small subunit ribosomal RNA", at positions 28 to 507 of the family's 1533-position model. The record is from RNAcentral.